RNAcentral lists this ribosomal RNA (497 nucleotides) under uncultured bacterium. RNAcentral describes it as "partial 16S ribosomal RNA". It matches the Rfam family "Bacterial small subunit ribosomal RNA", at positions 28 to 507 of the family's 1533-position model. The record is from RNAcentral.
GAUGAACGCUGGCGGCGUGCCUAAUACAUGCAAGUCGAGCGAACAGAUAAGGAGCUUGCUCCUUUGACGUUAGCGGCGGACGGGUGAGUAACACGUGGGUAACCUACCUAUAAGACUGGGAUAACUUCGGGAAACCGGAGCUAAUACCGGAUAACAUUUGGAACCGCAUGGUUCUAAAGUGAAAGAUGGUUUUGCUAUCACUUAUAGAUGGACCCGCGCCGUAUUAGCUAGUUGGUAAGGUAACGGCCUACCAAGGCGACGAUACGUAGCCGACCUGAGAGGGUGAUCGGCCACACUGGAACUGAGACACGGUCCAGACUCCUACGGGAGGCAGCAGUAGGGAAUCUUCCGCAAUGGGCGAAAGCCUGACGGAGCAACGCCGCGUGAGUGAUGAAGGGUUUCGGCUCGUAAAACUCUGUUAUUAGGGAAGAACAAAUGUGUAAGUAACUGUGCACGUCUUGACGGUACCUAAUCAGAAAGCCACGGCUAACUACGUG